Long non-coding RNA from Mustela lutreola (European mink), 1427 nucleotides. RefSeq lists it as uncharacterized. The record is from RefSeq and is a predicted model, not a curated record. NCBI's taxonomy places the organism in Eukaryota, Metazoa, Chordata, Mammalia, Carnivora, Mustelidae. The transcript is spliced from 4 exons.
AGCGUAGAGCAGGACAAAGCAGGGAAGGAGGGAAUCAGCCGACAAAUAGCACAGCUGCCUUAUUGCUGGCUGGGGGCAAGUUCAGGGGUGUGUUCUACACUGUCUGCGGGAGGUCCCCUGGGGCACUCUGUCCCACCCAGUGGCCUGCAGGAACAACCGCCUUUCCCUCCUCUGCCCUCAUUUCUCUUCCUGUUAGCAUCUUGCAGAUCGUGGUGGCUUCAAAGUAGCUGCAGCUUCCUUGUCAUUCCCCUCGCAGGGGGCAGGGAGGCGGGGCCGUCCCUACCCCCCACGUCUGCAAAGACACAUUGGAGUACCAGCCCCCACUGCCAGCGGGCGGACGGGACCUUGUUGGAGCCAGGCUGGUGGCUAAUGUCAUCAAGUUAAGGUACAAGGAAGAGCCACGCUUAAGCCAUACAGCCUUGAGCCUGAAGUAGGAUUUCUCCUGCCUGAUCCCAAAGACGAGAGGAUAUGUGGAACCUCAUGGCCUCUACUUGUAUGUGAUUGUGUUCCGAGGGGAGAGUGGUAGAGAAUUCCAGCGUUAAAAUAAGGAAGUAUAAUUUUUGUACAGUGAAACACACAUUUAAAAAAAACACAGCUUUUUUGAGGUCUAAUUGACAUCCGAUAAAUUGCAUGUAUUUAAAUGAUACAAUCUGAUCGGUUUUGACAUAUGCGUCCACCCAUGAAACCAUCACUGUAAUCAAGAUCAUGAAUAUAUCCACUGCCCCCCAAGGUUUCUCCGUGCCCCUCUGUGAUCCCUCCUGCCUGCCUCUCCCUGUUCCCCAUCCCCAGGCAACAGCUGAUCUGCUUCCUGUCACUGUAGACUAGCUUGCAUUUUCUAGAAUUUAAUAUAAAUGGAAACAUGCAGUAUGCACUCUCUGGCUUCUUUUACUAGGCGUGAUUAUUUUCAGAUUUAUUCGUCUUGUGUAUUUGUUCCCUUUACUGAUGAGUUGUACCCCACCGUGUGGAUAUACCACAAUUUGUUUAACCACUCAUCCGUUUGUGGAUAUUUGGGUUGUUUCCAGUUUUUGGUUCUUACAGAUGAAUCUGCCAUGAACGUUUGUGUGCCUGUAUUUCCAUCUUUCCCAGGGAGGCAUCUGGGAGAGGAAUGCUUAGGUCAUCUGUAGGCACCAUGCCCAGCAUGGAGCCCAACGUGGGGCUUGAACUCACAACCCUGAGACUGAAACCUGAGCUGAGAUGAAGAGUCAGCCGCUUAACCCACGGAGCCGGCCAGGCGCCCCAGAAACAUGCUGGUUUUGGUUGGGCUUGAACUCACGACCCUGAGAUCAAGAGUCUCAUGUUCUGCUGAAUAGAGCCAGCCCAGCGCUCCAUCCCUGAAUUCAUCUCGGGAUGUCCAUUAAGAAAUCCGUCUGCGACGUCAACAGCACGAAAACCCUGCACAGAUCAAAACCCUUCUCUAGCUUAAAGGU